This is a long non-coding RNA of Tupaia belangeri chinensis (Chinese tree shrew), 489 nucleotides long. RefSeq lists it as uncharacterized. The transcript is spliced from 4 exons. NCBI's taxonomy places the organism in Eukaryota, Metazoa, Chordata, Mammalia, Scandentia, Tupaiidae. The record is from RefSeq and is a predicted model, not a curated record.
AUGGCACCACGCACUGGUCCCGAGGAAGCACUCGCAUGGGGCAUGGCCAGGUGCCAGUGGAUGUAAUUCAUGCGGAGCCUUGAGGUGUUUUGCAUGCUCAGACUUGCCUUUGGCAUUUCCUUGAUCACCAGGAUGAGCAUCACAGGAAGCAGUUCUAAGCCCAACCCAAGGCUCAGAACUAAACACAGCUGAGGCCAUCUCAGCCCAGCCACAUUCCAGACGACCUUCAGAGGGUUCUUCGCAAGUGUCACUUGGGACCUAAUGACUCACUCGCAUGCCGCCACCACCACCACCACUCCAAGACCAGCCAAUCUGUCUGCAGCAGCCAGGAGCUCAAGACCACUUCCCAUCUCACCUGAACCACUCCACAUAACUGGAGGGCCACCUGCAUCCUGCGGCUCCUGGCCCUGCUGCCACCUUCAAAGCCAGCAAGGCAGCAACUUCAAAUCUCUCAACUUCCGGGACUCUGAAAGCCGCCACGUCCGGAAC